CUCUGUCCUCAAGGAAGAUAAUGACGGUACUUGAGGAGGAAGCCCCGGCUAACUACGUGCCAGCAGCCGCGGUAAUACGUAGGGGGCUAGCGUUAUCCGGAUUUACUGGGCGUAAAGGGUGCGUAGGCGGUCUUUCAAGUCAGGAGUGAAAGGCUACGGCUCAACCGUAGUAAGCUCUUGAAACUGGGAGACUUGAGUGCAGGAGAGGAGAGUGGAAUUCCUAGUGUAGCGGUGAAAUGCGUAGAUAUUAGGAGGAACCCCAGUUGCGAAGGCGGCUCUCUGGACUGUAACUGACGCUGAGGCACGAAAGCGUGGGGAGCAAAC
This 324-nucleotide ribosomal RNA is filed under the name Clostridioides difficile. RNAcentral describes it as "bacterial SSU rRNA". It matches the Rfam family "Bacterial small subunit ribosomal RNA", at positions 431 to 773 of the family's 1533-position model. The record is from RNAcentral. Lineage: Bacteria; Bacillati; Bacillota; Clostridia; Peptostreptococcales; Peptostreptococcaceae.